This 29-nucleotide non-coding RNA is filed under the name Homo sapiens (human). The record is from RNAcentral. Lineage: Eukaryota; Metazoa; Chordata; Mammalia; Primates; Hominidae.
UCAAUAAGGGUGGAAGCGACGGGGAAAGA